This 460-nucleotide ribosomal RNA is filed under the name uncultured bacterium. RNAcentral's name for it is "partial 16S ribosomal RNA". It matches the Rfam family "Bacterial small subunit ribosomal RNA", at positions 338 to 795 of the family's 1533-position model. The record is from RNAcentral.
CCUACGGGAUGCAGCAGUGAGGAAUAUUGGUCAAUGGACGAGAGUCUGAACCAGCCAAGUAGCGUGAAGGAUGACUGCCCUAUGGGUUGUAAACUUCUUUUAUAUGGGAAUAAAACGUUCCACGUGUGGGAUUUUGUAUGUACCAUAUGAAUAAGGAUCGGCUAACUCCGUGCCAGCCGCCGCGGUAAUACGGGGGAUCCGAGCGUUAUCCGGAUUUAUUGGGGUUAAAGGGAGCGUAGGUGGAUUGUUAAGUCAGUUGUGAAAGUUUGCGGCUCAACCGUAAAAUUGCAGUUGAAACUGGCAGUCUUGAGUACAGUAGAGGUGGGCGGAAUUCGUGGUGUAGCGGUGAAAUGCUUAGAUAUCACGAAGAACUCCGAUUGCGAAGGCAGCUCACUGGACGGCAACUGACACUGAGGCUCGAAAGUGUGGGUAUCAAACAGGAUUAGAUACCCUGGUAGUC